Molecule: long non-coding RNA, 710 nt
Organism: Magnolia sinica
Lineage: Eukaryota; Viridiplantae; Streptophyta; Magnoliopsida; Magnoliales; Magnoliaceae
Exons: 3
Source: RefSeq, a predicted model, not a curated record
UCAUCUUUAUUAGACUGUAUUGGAUACUUAAAUCUUUUAUUGGAUCAUCUUAACGUCUUUUAUGUUUGGCUUUCUUUCAGUUUGAAGUGAUACAGAAAUUUGAAGAGAUGUGCUUGGAGUCUUCCAGGGAAUUUUCUCCUUUAUUUGCAUUGGUUUUGCAUGAACUUUAUGACAAAGAAAUUGUGUCAGAAGCUGCGAUUCUCCAAUGGGAGUCAGAGAAAGAAGGAGCUGAUGAGUCGGAUAAAAUAUUUGUGAAGCAGUCAGAGCAAUUCAUCAAGUGGCUGAAAGAAGCACCAGAAGAGUCAACCGAUGAGGAAGGAUGAGUGAUAGAUUGAAGUCUCGUCAUUCAGAUGUUCCUGCCUAUUUGUUGUGUCCAGAUUAUUUCUUCAUGGUUUGCAGUUGGAAGUUGGAACUAACUACCUCACAAGUGGGAAACCUCAAGAUCAGCACUGGGUAUUUCUGCUGCAGAGACACCGGCCAGGAUCAAUUCAUCAUUCACUCCCUGAUUAACUUCAGUGGCUGUAGUGUGCCUAUGGUGAUGAUUGACAAUCCAUCUGCCUACUCAAUGUUCUUUCUGCUGCUGCUCAUGACGCUUCAGAACUCCAACCUGGUUCUAGAUUCCUUAACAUGGUCAUUAGUGUCCAAGUUUCUUAGUAAAAUGUCAAUUUUUGGAAGGAGAACUAUUUAUAAUACACUUCAAGUUGAGAUUA